UACAGAGAGCUUAAAAAAUCUGCUCAAGGGCUGGCCCAGAUGACUGCCACAGCAAGCUCCGCAGCUCAUGGGCCCCGGGUCCCCUGCCCUGGGACCUGGGGAUAAGUUUGGCUGCGGACAUGG
Molecule: small nucleolar RNA, 123 nt
Organism: Balaenoptera musculus (blue whale)
Lineage: Eukaryota; Metazoa; Chordata; Mammalia; Artiodactyla; Balaenopteridae
Source: Ensembl